CGGCCUGGAGCGCCCGAACCGCUGCGAUCGGCCAGCCCCAGCCCUCCUCUGGCUGGGAGAGUCCGAACUAUGUGCUGUAUGUACUUCAUAUUUGGUCCUUAAGAGAUGGACCACACAGUUAAUUUGGGAGAUCUAAAGAACAAAGCAUCCUGCCACAUGCUGGGAAUACCUGAGCCUGUGAAGGCAAUUCCUCACCCUCAUCACUAUGUCUGCUGGCUUUUGUCACUGUGGGUCUGCCAAAGGUGAGUUAUUCUGACAACAGGUGGCUUUUCCUGAGCAUCCAUCCUGGGAGAAAAUAAGGAUGCAGGCACAAGGCAGGCAAGGGAUUAAACUCAUCUUGUGGUCAGG
Molecule: long non-coding RNA, 348 nt
Organism: Ficedula albicollis (Collared flycatcher)
Lineage: Eukaryota; Metazoa; Chordata; Aves; Passeriformes; Muscicapidae
Exons: 3
Source: RefSeq, a predicted model, not a curated record